Molecule: RNA transcript, 2231 nt
Organism: Argentina anserina (silverweed cinquefoil)
Lineage: Eukaryota; Viridiplantae; Streptophyta; Magnoliopsida; Rosales; Rosaceae
Gene name: acyl-CoA-binding domain-containing protein 5-like
Exons: 5
Source: RefSeq, a predicted model, not a curated record
AACCAACAAAAAUAUUAAAAAUUUGACAGAGAAAAAGAAAGAGCUUUUCCUUUAUAAAUGGGACCGACAAUGACACUGUAGCAGUAGAAGCAGAGCAAAACAUUGCAGAAUAUACCUUGCUCAGUUCUGCAAAAAUUCUCCUUACUCUCUCUGUUUGUGUGUCUCAUCAUCAUCAUCAUCAUCGAGAUUAAGCUCUCCAUUUUUCUGGGUAUCUCUCUCUGUGCAUAAAGCUAUGGACUUUAUCUCGGAUUUUGUAUUGACAAUUGCUCUGUGUAGCCUGGUACCUUUAUUUCUUUGCUUCCUUUUGCCUGUGAUUGUUGCUUUGUGUCCGAGCAGGGAUGAUCAUGUUGGAAAAAGAAGGGUUCUUUAUGAGUGUGAGCCCAGCGUUCAUGAGUGGGAGAGUGAAGUUGGAAGUGGGUUUGUUGAGAAAGCUGCGGAAGUUGAUGGGUUUAAGGGUGAGCCCAAGAAGGAAAGUUUGGUUCUUGAUGAGUUUGGGGAUGAGGGUUUGGCUGAGAAUGAGGUUUUGAGAGGAGUUGGAGAUGGUUGUGUGAAGGAGAAGAGUGUUGAGGAAGAAAGGUUUGACGGUUUGUGUGAGUGUGUGGAGAACGUGUUUGAUGAGAGUGUCGAGAGGUGUGAAUUUGGGGGUGUUGAGUUUGGUUUGGGGGAGAGGAAUGUUGAUGAAGAAGGCUGUGAUGGGCAUGGUGGUAUAAAGAACUUGUUUGAUGAAAGUUGUGGGAGGCUUGAGUUUGGUUUGGGAAGAAAUGAAGUGGGUGUUGUUUGUUUGGGGGAGAAGAAUGUUGAAGAAGAAGGGAUUGAUGGGCGUGUUGGGGUAUGUGGGUAUGUAGAGAACUUUGAAAGUUUUGAGAAAAUUGAAAAUGGCGGGCUUGAGCUUGAUUUGGGGAAAGACCAAGUGGGAGUUGUGGCUUUGAAUGAGAAGAAUGUUGAACAAGAAAGCCAUGAGGGGGAUGGUGGUGUGUGUGGGUGUGGAGAGAACUUGGUUGAUACAAGUUUGGAGAGGCAUGAAUUUAGCGAAGUUGAGUCUGGUUUGGAAAGAAAUGAAGUGGGGGUUGUUUGUUUGCCAGAGAAGUAUGUGGAGGAAGGAUGCCCUCUUGGGGAUGUUGGUAUACGUGGCUCUAGGGAGAACCUGGUUAAUGAAAGUUCUGAGAGGCAUGCAUUUGGCGAAAUUGAGUUUGGUUCAGAAAGAAACCAAGUGGCAAUUCUGGAAAGUGAAGAGAUCAAGCUGUCAAACUGUGAGGAUGAUGAUGAUGAUGAUGAAACUGAUGAAGCAAAGCACAAUGUAGUUGAUGGGGAAGCUGAUGAGGGGUUAUUCGGUGAGGAUAAUGAUUGGGAGAAUAUAAAAAGAACUGAAUUGGAGAGGCUCUUUGGUUCUGCAGUGGUUUUUGUUGGGUCUAAGAGUAAUGCUGAUAGAGUUUCAAGUCUUGGGAGUGAUGUGAAGAUGAGGUUGGAUGGGCUUCACACGAUUGCUACUCGAGGACCUUGUUUGGAACCCCAGCCUAUGGCAUUCAAGGUCUCGGCAAGAGCAAAAUGGAAUGCUUGGUGGCAGCUUGGCAACAUGAGUUCAGAGGUAGCAAUGGAACAAUACAUCACCCUUCUUUCAGAAAGUGUUCCUGGAUGGAUGCAAGAUGUUCAUGGCGAUUUUUUAGAUCCCCAAGUGUAUAAGACCAUAACUGCUGAUCCAAACACAGUGAUGCCAAACAAAUCAGAAGCUGCUGGUGUAAGAAUAGUAGAAGAACUGAAGCCUGAUGCUAAAGGUUUUAAUGAGAUCGGACUGGGGGUCAUAACUCAUUGAGCAAGGUACCCAUUCAGUUAGUGGUGUAUGUAAGUUCUCUUACAUGGAAUUUUGGUUGGCAAUAUUUUGAUUCUGUUAUUUCGUAGCUGGUAAGUUGUAAAUUGUAAAUUAUAGAUAGAAUUUUCAUACUUUCAUGUGCUCAAUGAAAUGACUUUUUUUUUUUGGUAAUGUAAAUUGAGUUUUUAGUCAUGGCUUAGAACCAGUGAAUGGUUCGUAAUUCAACAUUCCAUGACUAGUUUUAAUUUUCUGGUUUUUGCCGAUUGUUCAAAAACAAGGCAGGCAUCUUCAGGUUAACAGAGGUUGCCGACUACCAAGACCAGAAGCUCGUAUCAACAAUUAAAAACUCUCGACUAUGAUAUGUACAUAUUGCAUUGGUGUUGAUAAUAAAGAUUUCAUCCUUGUGUUCAUGGUUCUAGCUGUA